CUAACUAAGAAAAGCUUCUACAUUGAGAGUACCAUCUGUGUGUUAUGUGAUGAUGAGCCUAAUGAGUACAUGAAACAUCUAUUCUUCUCAUGUGAUUUUAGCCAAAACUUUUGGUUAUUAAUUGGUUUUCAAUGGAACACUGAUCUAAGCUGCAAUGAUAUGCUUAUUGAAGCCAGAAACAGAACUCAGAUUUAGCCCUUUAAAGAAUGCCUAAUUGCUGGUUGUUAUACCAUCUGGAAACACAGAAACAACAUCAUUUUUGACAACAAAUGAAGGGAUUUGAGCUACUGUAUUUCCUGUUUCAAGGAUCACUUUGGCACCAUCAUGAAAAGAGUCAGACCUAGUUUAAAGGAGGGAAUGCAAAGCUGGUUGGAUUAUUUGUAG
Molecule: ribosomal RNA, 384 nt
Filed under: Triticum aestivum (bread wheat)
Lineage: Eukaryota; Viridiplantae; Streptophyta; Magnoliopsida; Poales; Poaceae
Description: partial small subunit ribosomal RNA
Source: RNAcentral